AGUGAACGCGGGCGGUAGGCCUAACACAUGCAAGUCGAACGGCAGCACAGUAAGAGCUUGCUCUUACGGGUGGCGAGUGGCGGACGGGUGAGGAAUACAUCGGAAUCUACUUUUUCGUGGGGGAUAACGUAGGGAAACUUACGCUAAUACCGCAUACGACCUACGGGUGAAAGCAGGGGAUCUUCGGACCUUGCGCGAUUGAAUGAGCCGAUGUCGGAUUAGCUAGUUGGCGGGGUAAAGGCCCACCAAGGCGACGACCCGUAGCUGGUCUGAGAGGAUGAUCAGCCACACUGGAACUGAGACACGGUCCAGACUCCUACGGGAGGCAGCAGUGGGGAAUAUUGGACAAUGGGCGCAAGCCUGAUCCAGCCAUACCGCGUGGGUGAAGAAGGCCUUCGGGUUGUAAAGCCCUUUUGUUGGGAAAGAAAAGCAGCAGGUUAAUACCCCGCUGUUCUGACGGUACCCAAAGAAUAAGCACCGGCUAACUUCGUG
Molecule: ribosomal RNA, 492 nt
Filed under: uncultured bacterium
Lineage: Bacteria
Description: partial 16S ribosomal RNA
Rfam family: Bacterial small subunit ribosomal RNA
Source: RNAcentral